This 372-nucleotide ribosomal RNA is filed under the name uncultured organism. RNAcentral describes it as "bacterial SSU rRNA". It matches the Rfam family "Bacterial small subunit ribosomal RNA", at positions 526 to 896 of the family's 1533-position model. The record is from RNAcentral.
CGAAGGGUGCAAGCGUUACUCGGAAUUACUGGGCGUAAAGCGUGCGUAGGUGGUGAGUUAAGUCUGUCGUGAAAGCCCCGGGCUCAACCUGGGAAUGGCGAUGGAUACUGGCUCGCUAGAGUGCGGUAGAGGAGUGUGGAAUUCCCGGUGUAGCAGUGAAAUGCGUAGAGAUCGGGAGGAACAUCAGUUGCGAAGGCGGCUCUCUGGACCAGCACUGACACUGAGGCACGAAAGCGUGGGGAGCAAACAGGAUUAGAUACCCUGGUAGUCCACGCCCUAAACGAUGCGAACUGGACGUUGGGAGCAAUCAGGCUCUCAGUGUCGAAGCUAACGCGUUAAGUUCGCCGCCUGGGGAGUACGGUCGCAAGACUG